Small nucleolar RNA from Jaculus jaculus (lesser Egyptian jerboa), 105 nucleotides. RefSeq annotates it as small nucleolar RNA U13. The transcript has a single exon. Lineage: Eukaryota; Metazoa; Chordata; Mammalia; Rodentia; Dipodidae. The record is from RefSeq and is a predicted model, not a curated record.
AUCCUUUUAGUGGCUCAUAAAUGUGAUGAUGGGGUGUCUAGGUACUUGCAUGCCAUGUGCCUCUUACAGACUUUGUGAUAAUAUCAUCACAGUAACGAUCUGAUA